CCUGAGGGGCUCGGGGAGCGGGACAGGAGCAGCCCUCAGAGCGGGACAGGAGGAAACCUCAGAGCGGGACAGGAGGAAACCUCAGAGCGGGACAAGAGCAGCCCUCAGAGAGGGACAGGAGCAGCGAUCCGCCGUCCUAAACCCGCGUUCCCGUGAGCUGCUGUCCUGGUCUGACCCCGUACUUACAGGCCCCUGCCUAAAGGUACUGAACUACAACUCCAAACGCCUGUAACAAAGUCUCUGUUUCCUUCCCUUUUUGUGAGACACUGAGAUCCAGUACCUACUUUCUUCACCUGGCACAAAGCUUGAACAAAAAUCCUGGAAUGUUCACUUACAUGUGAACCAAAGCCAGGACUGCAUCCUUAGAAUGGGAAAGGUGAGAUCCAGGCAGGAGAACUGCAGGAGUGGAGAGCACAUGGACAAGUGACCUGGCCCAGCCAAGAGCCAUCUGAUGUUUCCCUCUCUGGGAUGUGAAACAUAAAAUACUGGUGUACCUUUAUUGUGGAAUUUCUCAGAGCUGCC
Molecule: long non-coding RNA, 522 nt
Organism: Vidua macroura (Pin-tailed whydah)
Lineage: Eukaryota; Metazoa; Chordata; Aves; Passeriformes; Viduidae
Exons: 3
Source: RefSeq, a predicted model, not a curated record